Molecule: ribosomal RNA, 226 nt
Filed under: uncultured bacterium
Lineage: Bacteria
Description: partial 16S ribosomal RNA
Rfam family: Bacterial small subunit ribosomal RNA
Source: RNAcentral
GAUCAUGGCUCAGGAUGAGCGCUGGCGACAGGCUUAACACAUGCAAGUCGAGGGGCAGCACAGGUAGCAAUACCGGGUGGCGACCGGCGCACGGGUGAGUAACGCGUAUGCAACUUGCCUAUCAGAGGGGGAUAACCCGGCGAAAGUCGGACUAAUACCGCAUGAAGCAGGGGCCCCGCAUGGGGAUAUUUGCUAAAGAUUCAUCGCUGAUAGAUAGGCAUGCGUU